Molecule: ribosomal RNA, 509 nt
Filed under: uncultured Sphingobacteriales bacterium
Lineage: Bacteria; Pseudomonadati; Bacteroidota; Sphingobacteriia; Sphingobacteriales
Description: bacterial SSU rRNA
Rfam family: Bacterial small subunit ribosomal RNA
Source: RNAcentral
CUAUGCGCCUUCGCCAGCCCGCUCAGAAACUUAAAGGAAUUGACGGGACCCCGCACAAGCGGUGGAUCAUGUUGUUUAAUUCGAUGAUACGCGAAGAACCUUACCAGGUCUUGACAUCCCCCGCGAUGCUUUAGAGAUAAAGCGGAGGUAUUCGGGGAGACAGGUGGUGCAUGGUUGUCGUCAGCUCGUGCCGUGAGGUGUCGGGUUAAGUCCCAUAACGAGCGCAACCCUUACCGUUAGUUACCAUCAGGUAAAGCUGGGGACUCUAGCGGGACUGCCACCGUAAGGUGAGAGGAAGGCGGGGAUGACGUCAAAUCAGCACGGCCCUUAUGUCCAGGGCUACACACGUGUUACAAUGGCCGGUACAAAGGGCAGCUACUCCGCGAGGAGAUGCUAAUCUUAAAAAGCCGGUCUCAGUUCGGAUCGAAGUCUGCAACCCGACUUCGUGAAGCUGGAUUCGCUAGUAAUCGCGCAUCAGCCAUGGCGCGGUGAAUACGUUCCCGGGCCUU